CUGCAAUCCCUUCUACACUAUUCCCCUUAGUACUACUGCCACCACCAAGACUUUUAAACCCGGGCGUCUUAGGUUACCCCACACACAGGAGAAUUAUAGUAUCACAGUUCUACUUUUACUGAUAAAACAUAUAUAGUUAACCCCUUUUGGUAACGUGUUUACCUGAGCUUUCCUCUGGAGAGUGAAGCUCAUAGAGAACAGAGACACAAGCUGAUUAAGUAAACAUUUAAUCUGACAAAAAGGAUUCACAGUGCUGAGUACAAAAUACAGAAAUAAAUGACAUACAGAUAACAAAUUGCAAAACAGUACAUAAAAUAAAAUAGGAGAAAACACAAGAAAUUCCUUACAUAUAUUUACCCCAUAUAGAAUUCUUGUGGGAGUCUUAGAUGGUAUAGGUCUCCUAGAAGUUACUGACAAAAAGAAAAAUGAAUAACUGACCAUCCCUGGAUAGUCCAACACCCUCAUAUAUCUAAACUAGCUGUUUCUCAGUGGGCAGACACCUGGGGGGGGGAUCAGAGGGGGUUGGUCUGGCAGUCUAUUGCCCACUCUAUGAAAUUCCUUGUGUCCAGCUCUGGUGAUGGCUAUCUAGAUGUUUUAUGGUCUAGGCCUGGUGCAAGAUCAAAGACCACAACAAAUGUCAUUCCAAGGUUUACAAAAAAAACCAACUCUUAACAUAUAUAAACACACAUCAAACACCAACUCAUGCUUUUGGCAUGACACCUCCCCCUUAAGAUGGUGGACAGAAAAAUGCACCCACAGGCUGAUUUAUCUGUCUACCAUUAACCCUCUAGUUGCCGAGACAGGCCAUCUGCAUUCCCAUGCAAGCUGCCCUUUUUGUGCCGGGCAGUGAAAUUAUACUGUUGGAGGAUAGGGCUCCAAUGGAGCAGUUUAUCAUUGUUACCUGUCACCUGCAGCAGGUUGUGAUCAGUCCAUACCACAGCUACCCCCUCAACAAACAUGCCUGAUUUGCCUGUUUCAAUUUUCCAUCGAUCUCUGGUAACAUCCCUUAAACCACACCCACUGCGCUCAUGUAGUAGCUGUAAAGGGAAGAAACCAAUGGAUUUCUGCAGCACUCCCCGGUAAGCACACAAAAAAGCAGACAGAGAACACUCCCAGGAUAGAUGUGCUGUAUCAACACCCAUCAUCUCUUUCAUUUUGCGGUCUGUCUGCUGGGCUUGUUGCACUAUCAGACUCUGAACCUUUGGUUCACAAUCAGAAAGUUGCUCAGGUGUAUGCGUGAGUUGUGAUAAACUGACAAGGUUCCUGGUUCCUCCAACAGUAUGUUUCCCUGCAGCCAUCCUUCCUGGACCCGAAGGCUGAGUCUGCCCGUGCCCCUCACUUUCACUCCAGGUCAUCACACAUACCGAACUUUGGAAACUGGCUAAGCCUGCCGCAGAGUCAAGCUCACACACCCUCUGCCCUCCCUCAUAGCCUUGCUGUCCCUUCACAUUUUCACCCAGUGCAUCACAUACAUCUGCUUCAGGCACAUAUUGGCACAUAUAUUCCUUCAGGCCCCUCUCGCUGGAAGGCUUUUCCCAUACAUUUUCACAGGACACAUUUGACCCCCCUUGAUCAGAUACAGAAUUUUGCACACACUCACAUAAUUUCUUCUCCAAGGCAGGCCAUCCUCUCGCAAUCUCACAUAGCCCCUCAGACUCUGCAGCCGUGACCCACUGCUGACUUGUUACCACUGCUGACUUGUUACCCUGGCUCUCACCUUCCUCCUCUCCCUUACUCUCUGACAUCCCAGCCUCACAGUAUUUUAAUACAGGCACAUCACUACUCACCCCUAUCUCACAUUUGGUAGACAUCACUGGUUCAGUUACAGGUAGAUAUUUAUCCACACCCUGCUCUCCCUCCCAGCAAUCACACUUCACAAUGUCUCCCAAAGUUUCACACAAUACCUUAGGUGGAGCAGUCAGCCCUUCUGGCUCACAAACAGUGUCCGCUGGAGCAUAGUGACAGAGCAUCCUGCCCAAAUCAUU
Pelobates cultripes (western spadefoot toad) is the source of this 1985-nucleotide non-coding RNA. The record is from the annotation of a GenBank genome assembly. Lineage: Eukaryota; Metazoa; Chordata; Amphibia; Anura; Pelobatidae.